This 68-nucleotide transfer RNA is filed under the name Eurytoma sp. ZJUH_2016013. RNAcentral's name for it is "tRNA-His". The record is from RNAcentral. Lineage: Eukaryota; Metazoa; Arthropoda; Insecta; Hymenoptera; Eurytomidae.
AUUUAAAUAGUUUAAUAAAAAUUUUGAUUUGUGGAAUCAAUGAUAUGUAAUUAAUUAUGUUUUAAAUU